RNAcentral lists this ribosomal RNA (230 nucleotides) under uncultured bacterium. RNAcentral's name for it is "partial 16S ribosomal RNA". It matches the Rfam family "Bacterial small subunit ribosomal RNA", at positions 562 to 791 of the family's 1533-position model. The record is from RNAcentral.
AAAGCGUGCGCAGGCGGUUAUAUAAGACAGAUGUGAAAUCCCCGGGCUCAACCUGGGACCUGCAUUUGUGACUGUAUAGCUAGAGUACGGUAGAGGGGGAUGGAAUUCCGCGUGUAGCAGUGAAAUGCGUAGAUAUGCGGAGGAACACCGAUGGCGAAGGCAAUCCCCUGGACCUGUACUGACGCUCAUGCACGAAAGCGUGGGGAGCAAACAGGAUUAGAUACCCCUGU